GGAAGCAUUGCUCAACAAGUAGAGCUUUUGCUUACCAAUCACAACAUCCUGAGUUCAAACCCCAGUACUACCA
RNAcentral lists this transfer RNA (73 nucleotides) under Dipodomys ordii (Ord's kangaroo rat). It matches the Rfam family "tRNA". Rfam says of the family: Transfer RNA (tRNA) molecules are approximately 80 nucleotides in length. Their secondary structure includes four short double-helical elements and three loops (D, anti-codon, and T loops). Lineage: Eukaryota; Metazoa; Chordata; Mammalia; Rodentia; Heteromyidae. The record is from Rfam by way of RNAcentral.